CCUACGGGAGGCAGCAGUGAGGAAUAUUGGUCAAUGGACGAGAGUCUGAACCAGCCAAGUAGCGUGAAGGAUGACUGCCCUAUGGGUUGUAAACUUCUUUUAUAUGGGAAUAAAAUGUCCCACGUGUGGGAUUUUGUAUGUACCAUAUGAAUAAGGAUCGGCUAACUCCGUGCCAGCAGCCGCGGUAAUACGGAGGAUCCGAGCGUUAUCCGGAUUUAUUGGGUUUGAAGGGAGCGUAGGUGGAUUGUUAAGUCAGUUGUGAAAGUUUGCGGCUCAACCGUAAAAUUGCAGUUGAAACUGGCAGUCUUGAGUACAGUAGAGGUGGGCGGAAUUCGUGGUGUAGCGGUGAAAUGCUUAGAUAUCACGAAGAACUCCGAUUGCGAAGGCAGUUCACUGGACUGCAACUGACACUGAGGCUCGAAAGUGUGGGUAUCAAACAGGAUUAGAUACCCGAGUAGUC
RNAcentral lists this ribosomal RNA (460 nucleotides) under uncultured bacterium. RNAcentral describes it as "partial 16S ribosomal RNA". It matches the Rfam family "Bacterial small subunit ribosomal RNA", at positions 338 to 795 of the family's 1533-position model. The record is from RNAcentral.